Molecule: ribosomal RNA, 253 nt
Filed under: uncultured bacterium
Lineage: Bacteria
Description: partial 16S ribosomal RNA
Rfam family: Bacterial small subunit ribosomal RNA
Source: RNAcentral
UACAGAGGUCUCACGCGUUGUUCGGAUUCAUUGGGCGUAAAGGGUGCGUCGGCGGCGCGGUAAGUCUGGUGUGAAAUCUCGGAGCUUAACUCCGAAACUGCAUUCGAUACUGCCGUGCUUGAGGACUGGAGAGGAGACUGGAAUUUACGGUGUAGCGGUGAAAUGCGUAGAUAUCGUAAGGAAGACCAGUGGCGAAGGCGGGUCUCUGGACAGUUCCUGACGCUGAGGCACGAAGGUCAGGGGAGCAAACAGG